AUUGAACGCGGGCGGCAUGCCUUACACAUGCAAGUCGAACGGUAACAGGUCUUCGGAUGCUGACGAGUGGCGAACGGGUGAGUAAUACAUCGGAACGUGCCUAGUAGUGGGGGAUAACUACUCGAAAGAGUGGCUAAUACCGCAUGAGAUCUACGGAUGAAAGCAGGGGAUCGCAAGACCUUGUGCUACUAGAGCGGCCGAUGGCAGAUUAGGUAGUUGGUGGGAUAAAAGCUUACCAAGCCGACGAUCUGUAGCUGGUCUGAGAGGACGAUCAGCCACACUGGGACUGAGACACGGCCCAGACUCCUACGGGAGGCAGCAGUAGGGAAUUUUGGACAAUGGGCGCAAGCCUGAUCCAGCAAUGCCGCGUGCAGGAUGAAGGCCUUCGGGUUGUAAACUGCUUUUGUACGGAACGAAAAGCCCCGGGUUAAUACCCUGGGGUCAUGACGGUACCGUAAGAAUAAGCACCGGCUAACUUCGUGCCAGCCGCCGCAGUAA
This 498-nucleotide ribosomal RNA is filed under the name uncultured bacterium. RNAcentral's name for it is "partial 16S ribosomal RNA". It matches the Rfam family "Bacterial small subunit ribosomal RNA", at positions 30 to 523 of the family's 1533-position model. The record is from RNAcentral.